AGUGAACGCUGGCGGUAGGCCUAACACAUGCAAGUCGAACGGCAGCACAGUAAGGGCUUGCUCUUACGGGUGGCGAGUGGCGGAGGGGUGAGGAAUACAUCGGAAUCUACUUUUUGGUGGGGGAUAACGUAGGGAAACUUACGCUAAUACGGCAUACGACCUACGGGUGAAAGCAGGGGAUCUUCGGACCUUGCGCGAUUGAAUGAGCCGAUGUCGGAUUAGCUAGUUGGCGGGGUAAAGGCCCACCAAGGCGACGAUCCGUAGCUGGUCUGAGAGGAUGAUCAGCCACACUGGAACUGAGACACGGUCCAGACUCCUACGGGAGGCAGCAGUGGGGAAUAUUGGACAAUGGGCGCAAGCCUGAUCCAGCCAUACCGCGUGGGUGAAGAAGGCCUUCGGGUUGUAAAGCCCUUUUGUUGGGAAAGAAAAGCAGCAGGUUAAUACCCCGCUGUUCUGACGGUACCCAAAGAAUAAGCACCGGCUAACUUCGUG
RNAcentral lists this ribosomal RNA (492 nucleotides) under uncultured bacterium. RNAcentral's name for it is "partial 16S ribosomal RNA". It matches the Rfam family "Bacterial small subunit ribosomal RNA", at positions 29 to 507 of the family's 1533-position model. The record is from RNAcentral.